UACGUAGGGGGCAAGCGUUGUCCGGAAUCAUUGGGCGUAAAGAGCGUGUAGGCGGUCCGGUAAGUCGGCUGUGAAAGUCCAGGGCUCAACCCUGGGAUGCCGGUCGAUACUGCCGGACUAGAGUUCGGAAGAGGCGAGUGGAAUUCCCGGUGUAGCGGUGAAAUGCGCAGAUAUCGGGAGGAACACCUAUGGCGAAGGCAGCUCGCUGGGACGUUACUGACGCUGAGACGCGAAAGCGUGGGGAGCCAACAGG
RNAcentral lists this ribosomal RNA (253 nucleotides) under uncultured bacterium. RNAcentral's name for it is "partial 16S ribosomal RNA". It matches the Rfam family "Bacterial small subunit ribosomal RNA", at positions 524 to 776 of the family's 1533-position model. The record is from RNAcentral.